RNAcentral lists this ribosomal RNA (219 nucleotides) under Acinetobacter sp. Swhac1. Its description in RNAcentral is "partial 16S ribosomal RNA". It matches the Rfam family "Bacterial small subunit ribosomal RNA", at positions 1 to 219 of the family's 1533-position model. Lineage: Bacteria; Pseudomonadati; Pseudomonadota; Gammaproteobacteria; Moraxellales; Moraxellaceae. The record is from RNAcentral.
UUUAACUGAAGAGUUUGAUCAUGGCUCAGAUUGAACGCUGGCGGCAGGCUUAACACAUGCAAGUCGAGCGGGCGAGGUUGCUUCGGUAACUUAGCUAGCGGCGGACGGGUGAGUAAUGCUUAGGAAUCUGCCUAUUAGUGGGGGACAACAUUCCGAAAGGGAUGCUAAUACCGCAUACGUCCUACGGGAGAAAGCAGGGGAUCUUUAUGACCUUGCGCU